UACGGAGGGUGCAAGCGUUGUCCGGAUUUAUUGGGUUUAAAGGGCGCGUAGGCGGCCACCGCAAGUCGACUGUGAAAUCUCCGGGCUUAACCCGGAAAGGUCAGCCGAUACUGCGGGGCUAGAGUGCAGAAGGGGCAACUGGAAUUCUCGGUGUAGCGGUGAAAUGCGUAGAUAUCGAGAGGAACACCUGCGGCGAAGGCGGGUUGCUGGGCUGACACUGACGCUCAUGCACGAAAGCGUGGGGAGCAAACAGG
RNAcentral lists this ribosomal RNA (254 nucleotides) under uncultured bacterium. RNAcentral describes it as "partial 16S ribosomal RNA". It matches the Rfam family "Bacterial small subunit ribosomal RNA", at positions 524 to 776 of the family's 1533-position model. The record is from RNAcentral.